CCUACGGGUGGCAGCAGUGGGGAAUAUUGGACAAUGGGCGAAAGCCUGAUCCAGCCAUGCCGCGUGUGUGAAGAAGGCCUUCGGGUUGUAAAGCACUUUCAGUGGGGAAGAAAGCCUUGGGGCUAAUACCCUCGAGGAAGGACAUCACCCACAGAAGAAGCACCGGCUAACUCCGUGCCAGCAGCCGCGGUAAUACGGAGGGUGCGAGGUUAAUCGGAAUUACUGGGCGUAAAGCGCGCGUAGGCGGUCUGAUAAGCCGGUUGUGAAAGCCCCGGGCUCAACCUGGGAACGGCAUCCGGAACUGUCAGGCUAGAGUGCAGGAGAGGAAGGUAGAAUUCCCGGUGUAGCGGUGAAAUGCGUAGAGAUCGGGAGGAAUACCAGUGGCGAAGGCGGCCUUCUGGACUGACACUGACGCUGAGGUGCGAAAGCGUGGGUAGCAAACAGGAUUAGAUACCCUAGUAGUC
Molecule: ribosomal RNA, 464 nt
Filed under: Vreelandella stevensii
Lineage: Bacteria; Pseudomonadati; Pseudomonadota; Gammaproteobacteria; Oceanospirillales; Halomonadaceae
Description: partial 16S ribosomal RNA
Rfam family: Bacterial small subunit ribosomal RNA
Source: RNAcentral